GUUUUUUUUUUCCCUUUUGUUCUUCUUUUCUUUGGCCGCUUCCUUUCUUCUGCUGGUCCGAUGCAAGUUGCUUUGCAACUUCCUGCUUCUUCCUCUGUAAAUCCAUCCUCAUGCUACCAUUUCAUCUCCAUCAACCCACUUCUUCUUCUUCUUCGGUAACUCUCUACAGUUCUGGUCCCUGCAAUAGCUCUAUCCCUUGUUGUUUCCAUCCCAUCCUCUACUGCCAUCUCUUGACCUUGCCCUCUCUCUCUUUCCCUCUCUCGCCCUCACUCUCUGGCUGACCCUCUCGGAACAUAGAAAAACCAGCUCAUGCACUUCCUCUCUCUCGGUCAAAAAGCAGUACCAGCAAGUGGUAGACAGGAUUCUUCAUCAUCCUCUCUUCUCUUUCUCUCUCUCGAUCAAAGGAAAAAGAUAGCACAUACAGCCUCAUCAUCUUCGGCACUUACCCUUCAUGCCAUCAUCAUCACCAGCAUAUUCACCUUCACCUCUACUCCUUAGCCAUUCUCGACCAUGAUCUCAGUUCAUCAUCAUCUUCUUUCUCCUUCCUUUCUUAUCCUCGGCAGCUGCGUCUCUUAGAGCUCCUCAAGCUCAAACAGUUGUUGUCCCUCCUUUCCUUCCUCAGUUGUUGCUUGAGUUGUUGUCCUUGGUCUCUCUCCCUCAAGCUGUUGUUCUGUUGUCACUCCUAUGCUUCUUAUUACCUCAGCUCCUCUCCUAGUAGUUGGUGAACUGCUAUCCUCGAGCUCACGGACCACAGAGUUGCUUUGUUGCUGUGCUUUCCCUCGAGAUCCUUAUUGAGCUGUCGAGCUGCUGUGCUUCCCGUCCCAAGGCUGCCGAGCUACAGUGCUUCGUCCAUGAGGUCGUCGAGUUAACUCGAUCCGUUGCUGCUUCUCCUCGAUCACCUUCCUAUCGUUGCUAUCGGUUCCUAAGUUGUCCUCAUCGAGGUCCCCGAGCUAAGUCUUUUGCUUUUCUUCUCUCUUGUUCACACUAUUUUUGUUUUCUCUUUCUGCCGGUUGCGUUUCUGUUUUACUGCUCUUUCCCCUACCUUUUGCUGGUUGGAGUUUCCCCUCUUAUGGUUAGAAAUGGCUUUAGGACGACCUCCUGAGCCCACGAUAGCUCUUGAGCUACCAACACUGCAGCAUCGAGCCUUGAGUGGCUCCUCUUGGACUUAGCCACGUUCAUCCCCAAUCCUUAGAGAGAGUUAGAGUGAAGAGAAGAAAGUUGGAGAGACAAGAAGAUAGUAGGCCAAUGCUGGUGGGGCUCGAAGAUGACGUGGAGACUUACCUAGGCUUAGGUGGAUUCCUGACUUGAAGGCCGCCUUGGUCCUCAGUAAUCAAGGAUCUCCCGAGCUAGCUCAUCUCGAGAAUCUCUUGUGAUUAAGUAUAAAUCUCUACCUUAGUAUCACGAGAUAGGUCUUUCGAUGUUUGAUGAGUGGAUUCGAUGAGCUUGAUAUGAUUGUUUGCCAAUGAUUCGUAUGUUUUGAAGUGCUCAUCGCUUUUAAUUAAAACUCCGCACGAAUUCAGAUUGA
Non-coding RNA from Punica granatum (pomegranate), 1525 nucleotides. The record is from RefSeq and is a predicted model, not a curated record. Lineage: Eukaryota; Viridiplantae; Streptophyta; Magnoliopsida; Myrtales; Lythraceae.